Molecule: ribosomal RNA, 511 nt
Filed under: uncultured organism
Description: SSU rRNA
Rfam family: Bacterial small subunit ribosomal RNA
Source: RNAcentral
CGGCAUGCCUAAGACAUGCAAGUCGAACGAGGUGACCCAUUGAAGAUGAAGUGCUUGCACAGAUUUGGAUUUGGAUUAUCACCUAGUGGCGGACGGGUGAGUAACACGUAGGUGAUCUGCCCUUAAGUUUGGAAUACCUAUUGGAAACGAUAGUUAAUACCGGAUAACACAUUAAUUCGUUUUAAUGUUGAAAGGAGCCUUUAAAGCUUCGCUUUUGGAUGAGCCUGCGGUGCAUUAGAUAGUUGGUGGGGUAAUGGCCUACCAAGUCAACGAUGCAUAGCCGAACUGAGAGGUUGAUCGGCCACAUUGGGACUGAGACACGGCCCAAACUCCUACGGGAGACAGCAGUUAGGAAUAUUCGUCAAUGGGGGAAACCCUGAACGAGCAAUGCCGCGUGAACGAUGAAGGCCCUAUGGGUUGUAAAGUUCUGUUAUAUGGGAAGAACAGUUAAAAUAGGAAAUGAUUUUAAUUUGACGGUACCAUGUCAGAAAGCUCCGGCUAACUACGUGCC